This 439-nucleotide long non-coding RNA is filed under the name Oncorhynchus mykiss (rainbow trout). RNAcentral's name for it is "lncRNA (ENSOMYG00000067998.1)". The record is from RNAcentral. Lineage: Eukaryota; Metazoa; Chordata; Actinopteri; Salmoniformes; Salmonidae.
AUGUGUAUUUAUUUUACCACAGUACCCUCUGAUAUGUGUAUUUAUUUUACCACAGUACCCUCUGAUAUGUGUAUUUAUACUACCACAGUACCCUCUGAUAUGUGUAUUUAUACUACCACAGUACCCAACCCUCUGAUAUGUGUAUUUAUACUACCACAGUACCCUCUGAUGUGUAUUUAUACUACCACAGUACCCUCUGAUAUGUGUAUUCAUACUACCACAGUACCUUCUGAUAUGUGUAUUUAUACUACCACAGUACCCAACCAGGAGUCUCCUACAGAGCUCACAGUUCAUCACUGUCCUUUUCCUGGUGGGGAGAAGACCAGAAGAGGAUGAUAUCCUUCCUGUCUCCAAGUUCUGCCUCAAAAUGUGCUGGGGUGAGUUUUUCCAUAAUAAAUGAGAACCUUAGAUAUGGUAAUUUAGUAUUUCCUUCUCUCAU